GAAUCGUAUAACCGUAGUUAUAGGUUAGAAUUUAGAAUAUCAUUUUAUAAUAAAGGCCAUUGUCAUUUAAGGCAAGAACGAACAAAAUGGUUAAAACUCGGCUGAAGUUCAAAGUAUACGACUUUUUAUAUCAAGGCUUUACCGCUGCUUCUAUAACUAUUUCUGGAUUAUGUUUAAUUGCAAUAGGAUUCAACUUAAAUCAAAUUAUAUUUAAUAAUAAGCCAUUGUUUCAUGCAGAAAGCGAAGAAUCUAAGAUCGAACUUUUAAGAGAAGGUAGAAUAUCGUUGGAUGAAAAGAAAAAUAAUGCUCAAAAUGAUUAGUGUAUAUUGUAGAUUUUAGAUAGUAAUAUCAUUUUGUACAAUUUAUAAUACAUAAAGAUUUAUUGCUUAAAUGAA
Long non-coding RNA from Ceratosolen solmsi marchali, 395 nucleotides. RefSeq lists it as uncharacterized. The record is from RefSeq and is a predicted model, not a curated record. Lineage: Eukaryota; Metazoa; Arthropoda; Insecta; Hymenoptera; Agaonidae. The transcript is spliced from 2 exons.